This 5416-nucleotide long non-coding RNA is filed under the name Marmota monax (woodchuck). The stretch from base 5294 to 5362 matches the Rfam family "tRNA". Lineage: Eukaryota; Metazoa; Chordata; Mammalia; Rodentia; Sciuridae. The record is from RNAcentral.
CUCUUUGAAGAGCUAUGUUUGGUUUUCUCUUUGAUUUUAUAGUGUAUUCAAGCUAUGUUUAGAUAAGCUUCUCUCUACACAAGUAAUUACUUAAAUUAAUUUUAAUAAUAUAUCCUAAAGUAUUUCCUUUAUAAAUAAUUUUUGAAUUACAAUGUCAUGAGGGGGCAAAAUUGAGACAUAUGCAGGCAAGGGAGAGAAAUAAAGAAUGUCCACGUGCUUCUGCCCUUUCCAAUGCUUUACUCACUCAAAUCACUCAAUAUAAUUUCACUCUAUAGGUUCUUAAUCAAGAAAAUGACAAUCAUUUAUGCCAAGCACUGCAAUAGACAUAAUCAAUUCACAGCAAAUAAUUCUAGAUUAAUUCUAAGCACUGCAAAACACAAUAAUGACAGGCCAAUGACAGACAUUAUCCUCUGCUUAUUAAGUUCAAAAGUCUUAAACUUUAGGCUGUAAGUCCAGCAGAUGCACACUCACUCAGACCACGUGAUCAGGUCCAGAACCAAGGCAGGCUUUUCCUGGUGUGGUGUGNACCACUCUCACUGCGGUAGAGUUUGAGAGUGGUGAGGAUCACACAGAGGAUCAGGAAAAUGAUGACCAACGAUGGGAUGUCAGUCCAGGUCCUCAUCAGGCUCUUCAGCUCCAGUGCGAUGGGAUGUCAGUCCAGGUCCUCAUUAGGCUCUUCAGCUCCAGUGCACUCUUGUUUGGGCUGGCUGAAUCCCUGUUCAUCAGCUCUAUUAUUUAUACUAAAUUUGGGGCUUUUGACCCUUUUUUCAAUCCUUAUCAGCUACCACUGGAUUUCUUCAUGACAUCAUUUACCCUGGGAUCAGAAACAUCUGGUCUGAUGGUAUUCACCCUGAUCUUCUCACCUUUCCCUCUUAUCAGGAGAGGACAGCCUGCCAGAGGCUUCACUCUGCUUAUCAAGGUGAGGGGAAGUAACUUGUCUGAGGCCAUACUGGAGGGCUCUGGUAGGUGCGUCUGAUGAGACUGGAGUUUUCAAACUGGAGUUUUUUAAAAUGGAGUUGCUUGGGCUCAGGCCUAAGGCCAUUGUCACAUAUAGUUGUCUCAGAUUUCCUCAUUUAUGCUUCUCCUAGGUUACUGAUUCAGUUCCAUAAUUUCACAUUAAAAAUAAAUAUCAGCAAGGUGUGAUGGUGCCCAACUAUAAUCUCAGUGACUUUGGAGCCUGAGGCAGGAAGAUCUCAAGUUCCAGACCAGCUUGGGAAACUUAGUGAGACCCUGUCUCAAAAAUUUAAAAAAGGUUAGUUAAGUGAUUAUUUAUCCCUGGCUAAAAUCUUCAGUACAAAACACACACACACACACACACACACACACACACCACACCGUUUUAGUCAGCUUUUUUGUUGCUGUGACUAAAAGCCCCAACAAGAGCAAUUUUACAGGAGGAAAUAUUUAUUUGGGGCUCACAGUUUCUGAGAUCUCAGUCCACAGACAGCUGGCUCCAUUCUUUAGGGCUUCAGGUGAGGCAGAACAUCAUGGUGGAAGCCUGUGGCAUAGGCAAGCAGCUCACAGGAGGAUCAUGAAAUAGAGAAAGAAUUCAUUCACAGAUACAAAAUAUAUGUGCCAAAGGAACGCCCUCAAGGAACUAUCUCCUCCAGCCACACCCUAUCCACCUUCAGUUACCACACAAGUAGUCCCUUCAGGAGAUUGAUUCACUGAUUGGUUGAGGCUGUCAUAACCCAAUCAUCUGUAGUCUAAACCUUCUUGAAUUGUCUCACACAUGAGCUUUUGGAGGACACCUCACAUCCAAAUCUUAACACCCCCCCAAAGAAUAUGAGUUAAUUGUAGUUGAUUAGAAGUUGUUUUUUGUAGCAACUAACACAGUAACUUUGUUAUUGACAUACAAGUGCUAAAUUACACAGAUGAAUUUGAAUUUGUGGUUUAAAGAGAGAGGAGGAAAUAUGGGGUAGGAAGGAUACUAGAAUGAAUCAGAUAUUUUUACCUUAUAUACAUAUGUAAUUAUAUGAUUGGUGGAAUUCUACACCAUGUACAAUCAGAAUUAGAAAUUAUACUCCAUCUAUAUAUGAUAUUUCAAAGUGCAUUCUACUGUCAUAUAUAACUAAUUAGAACAAAUAAAGAUAAAUUAAAAAUAAAAUAAUAAUAAUAUAACAAACUAGAAUGGAUCUCAAAUCUCAAAUCUUAGCACCAGGCAGUUAGAGCUAAUGCAUCUGUUAAAGAUUUACGUUUGCAGAUUAUCUGUUAGUAAGUAAACUAGUUUCUUCUGUGAUGAUCUAGUUUAUUAAAAACUUGUAGAACAUUACUUUUUCCUACUAUGCAAAUUCCCAUUUAACUUAACUACAGAUAAUUUGACACAAUAGAAUGUUAAAUAUCCUUUUAUCACCAUAGGAAGAGAUGUUUUUAUCGCCACAGGUAGUAAAAGACAGUUCAUUGCCAAAAACCAGAUACAAUUUNNNNNNNNNNNNNNNNNNNNNNNNNNNUAGAAUGAAUCAGAUAUUUUUACCUUAUAUACAUAUGUAAUUAUAUGAUUGGUGGAAUUCUACACCAUGUACAAUCAGAAUUAGAAAUUAUACUCCAUCUAUAUAUGAUAUUUCAAAGUGCAUUCUACUGUCAUAUAUAACUAAUUAGAACAAAUAAAGAUAAAUUAAAAAUAAAAUAAUAAUAAUAAUAUAACAAACUAGAAUGGAUCUCAAAUCUCAAAUCUUAGCACCAGGCAGUUAGAGCUAAUGCAUCUGUUAAAGAUUUACGUUUGCAGAUUAUCUGUUAGUAAGUAAACUAGUUUCUUCUGUGAUGAUCUAGUUUAUUAAAAACUUGUAGAACAUUACUUUUUCCUACUAUGCAAAUUCCCAUUUAACUUAACUACAGAUAAUUUGACACAAUAGAAUGUUAAAUAUCCUUUUAUCACCAUAGGAAGAGAUGUUUUUAUCGCCACAGGUAGUAAAAGACAGUCAUUGCCAAAAACCAGAUACAAUUUCUUGCAUCUAAUUUGUUAGAAAACCUAUUUUAAAAUGCAUUUAAAUAAAGAAAAUAGGCUCAUAUUCUUCAAGGCAGAACAAUGCCAAUUUUCAAGUAUACUUUGAGAACCAAAUUUUUCAUAAGAUUGCAAAAGGCAAAUGAGAAUUGCAAUUUUCAGCUAAUGAAAGAGAACAAAGAAAAAAAUCAACUAAAACUACUUUCAUCAUUAAAAUUAAGUAGAAUGUGGAAAAUAUUUAAAUAGUAUAAAUGCUCAAACCAAAUAAUAUAUUUAAAAUGUCUUCAGUUUAGUUUUAUCAAGUUUUCAGUGCUAAACCUUGAUAUUUUAAAUAGAUUUGUAUUCCUUGUGAAAACUUUCAGAAUAUAAUGGACUACAGACUUACAUUUGUUGGGUUUUGACAAGAUCCAGGAUUAUACUAGAAUUCUUAUCCUCUAAUCCUUAACUCUACAGGAUCACCAUAAUUUUAAGGUGCACAACCUGGGAUAUAGUUCAAUUUGUUUGCCUAAACUCCAACAGGUACCAAGUGUGGAUUUCAAAUUUUCUCUCUCAAUCAUAAUCUUAAACUUUUGAUCUAACAUUUAUAAAUCUGAUCCAUGCUAAUUUGAGGAACUCUCUUAUCUAUCCUUUCAAGAUACAUAUCCAAUGUAGUAUAAUGGUGGAAUUUUACUGAAUAGAAAGGAGAAAAGAUUUGGGGUAUCAGCUGUCUCUCUCAGAUUUCUUUUGCUUUCCCUGUCUUCUGACCUAUAUUACAUCUUCCUUCAGUUGUUACAGGAAAAGGACAGGUUAGCAAAAAGGGAGAAGAUAAAAUCAACACUGUACUAUUAGAAUUUAUUAAUCUUUAUUAUUUUAUAGAUUUAUAGAUAAAUUUGUUUGAUAGUUUCAAAACUCUCACUGUUGCUGAUACUAGAGACAGAGCAAUUAAAACAGCAGCCCAUAACCCCAUGCCCCUAUAAGGUUUACAUAUUGGUGAACAUCAUAGCUUUUAGCAUUUCUUUUCCUACUAAAAAUUCUGUUGUAAACAUUUCUUUUUAACUUCAUGUAAAAAUUGAAGGUGUCUAUUUAGAAGAGUUUGUGCCUUGGCCUAAGAUUCCAUUAAAUUCUGCAGGGCCUAUGUUAUGAAAACAAAAAGUCUGAAAAUGCUUUUCAAAAGGUGAUUGUUUUUAGACAAAACCACUAGUAGUAUUUUACCUGCCAAUUCUUUUCUGGAAAAAUUCUUCUUCUUUGUCUUGAGAAUUGGUGACAUUGACCUGUGAUAAUAUCUUUAGGACAGAGUAUUUCUUUGGGCAGUCUUAAAUUAUAUAGUUAUAUUCAUAGGCAUCUUAUAAAUUGAAUAGUUUACCCAACUAAGUAGUUCAGUGUCUAACUCAACCUUUCAUCGCUGUGACUAAAAUAUUUGAGAAGAACAACACAGAGAAGGAAAAGUUUAGUUUGGUUCAGGGUUUCAGAGGCCUCAGUGUGUAAUCAGCUGACCCAUUGUUCUGGUCUGAGGUGAGGCAGAAAACCGUGGCCAAAGAGUGUGGAGACAGAAAGCUGUAAGGUUAUGGCAGUCAGAAAAGAAAGAGAGAAAGAAAGAGAGAGGGAAGCCAGGAACAAUAUUUAAUAGACCAUCAUCAUGCACUCAAUGAUCUAUUUCCUCUGGCCACACCUCACCUGCCUACAGUUAACUACCCAGUAAUUCAUUCAAAUUAUUAAUACUCCAAGUGAAUUAAUCCACUUGAUGAGGUUUUUACCUCUGAACAUUACUGCCCUGUCUAACCCAUGAGUUUUCCAGGGACAUUCUUAGAUCUAAACCACAACAGUCAAUAAUGUUGUUGAAUGUGUUUCUGUACUUUCAUUGAUGGUUGAUUAUUUAUUUACAUAAUUACAACAUAGUUAGUUAUCACUUAAAUUUCAACUUGUAUUUAUAACAGAAAAGCAAGGUUAACAUGUUCAUCAAGACUAUUGUAUACUCUUUAAAAAUCAGAAAUUUUUGGCAAUGUCAUAAUCAAUAAUUAAGCAAAGGUGCUUAGUAAAAGAAAUACUUAGCAAAAGAAAUACAAACUGUACAAAAGAUUCAAAAUAUUUUCCCCAGAUUUAUAUUUUUCUUUUAGAAUGAACUAGUGUUUUUCUACGAUUGACACAUGUUAAAAUAGAAAUUCAAAAGUUAUUUAAAAUUAAAAAGUAUUCCAUAAUUUAAUAAUCAAAUAUAACCAUUCUCAACAUCAGUUAGACCUCUUCCCAAAUAAAUAUCAUAUCUAUCCCUAUAUGCACAUAGAAACAAAAAUGGGUAGCUGUGUCAGACUCAUUAAAUUGUGUGCAUAAAAUAAGUAGUUUUAUGCAUAUUAAAUAUAUAUCAAUAUAAUAUGGGCUGGGGAUGUGGCUCAAAUGGUAGCGCGCUCGCCUGGCAUGCGUGCGGCCUGGGUUCGAUCCUCAGCACCACAUACAAACAAAGAUGUUGUGUCUGCCGAUAACUAAAAAUAAAUAUUAAAAAAA